AAAAAAAUAUCUUUAAAUACAGAAAAUACAGAUAAUAAUUGUUUGCAUGAAAUUGCUCCAAGGAUCCAGCAAAACUGAUCUUUCUUAAAGUAAGGAAAUCGAAGGAAAACGGGUAAUUUUAGCCAUAUCAUUUGAGAAAAAAAUCCACGGUCACAAUGUAUUUAAUGUUAACAAUUAUAGGUCAAAGUACAGCCUUCAAGACGGAGCUAGCCUUGGCUCACCCA
Molecule: long non-coding RNA, 224 nt
Filed under: Mytilus galloprovincialis (Mediterranean mussel)
Lineage: Eukaryota; Metazoa; Mollusca; Bivalvia; Mytilida; Mytilidae
Source: RNAcentral